UGGGGAAUAUUGCACAAUGGUGGGAACUCUGAUGCAGCGACGCUGCGUGAGUGAUGAAGGAAUUCGUUUCGUAAAACUCUGUUCUAUGGGAAGAAAAGGACUGUACCAUAGGAGAAAGCUCCGGCUAAAUACGUGCCAGCAGCCGCGGUAAUACGUAUGGAGCGAGCGUUGUCCGGAAUUAUUGGGCGUAAAGGGUGCGCAGGCGGCUUUACAAGUUGGAUGUGAAAUAUUGUGGCUCAACCACAAACGUGCAUCCAAAACUGCAAAGCUUGAGUUAAGGAGAGGUAAGUAGAAUUCCUGGUGUAGAGGUGGAAUGCGUAGAUAUCAGGAGGAAUACCGGUGGCGAAGGCGACUUACUGGACUUAAACUGACGCUCAGGCACGAAAGCGUGGGGAGCAAACAGG
This 404-nucleotide ribosomal RNA is filed under the name Fusobacteriota bacterium. RNAcentral's name for it is "Fusobacteria bacterium partial 16S ribosomal RNA". It matches the Rfam family "Bacterial small subunit ribosomal RNA", at positions 355 to 776 of the family's 1533-position model. The record is from RNAcentral. Lineage: Bacteria; Fusobacteriati; Fusobacteriota.